This 2230-nucleotide ribosomal RNA is filed under the name Agrobacterium fabrum. RNAcentral's name for it is "partial 23S ribosomal RNA". It matches the Rfam family "Bacterial large subunit ribosomal RNA", at positions 591 to 2925 of the family's 2925-position model. The record is from RNAcentral. Lineage: Bacteria; Pseudomonadati; Pseudomonadota; Alphaproteobacteria; Hyphomicrobiales; Rhizobiaceae.
GGGUGACGGCGUACCUUUUGUAUAAUGGGUCAACGACUUAGUGUAACUAGCAAGCUUAAGCCGGUAGGUGUAGGCGCAGCGAAAGCGAGUCUGAAUAGGGCGAUUUAGUUAGUUGCAUUAGACCCGAAACCGAGUGAUCUAGCCAUGAGCAGGCUGAAGGUUGGGUAACACCAACUGGAGGGCCGAACCCGUAUCUGUUGCAAUAGAUUGGGAUGACUUGUGGCUAGGGGUGAAAGGCCAAUCAAACUCGGAAAUAGCUGGUUCUCCGCGAAAUCUAUUUAGGUAGAGCGUCGACCGAAUACCCUCGGGGGUAGAGCACUGGAUGGGCUAUGGGGACUCACCGUCUUACUGAUCCUAACCAAACUCCGAAUACCGAGGAGUACUAGUCGGCAGACACACGGCGGGUGCUAACGUCCGUCGUGAAAAGGGCAACAACCCUGACCUCCAGCUAAGGUCCCCAAGUCAUGGCUAAGUGGGAAAGGAUGUGAGGAUCCCAAAACAACCAGGAUGUUGGCUUAGAAGCAGCCAUCAUUUAAAGAAAGCGUAACAGCUCACUGGUCUAAAUAAGGGUCUUUGCGCCGAAAAUGUAACGGGGCUAAAGCCAUGCACCGAAGCUGAGGAUUGUGGCAACCUUCGGGUUGCUUCAGUGGUAGCGGAGCGUUCCGUAAGUCUGUGAAGGCGGACCCGUGAGGGCUGCUGGAGAUAUCGGAAGUGCGAAUGUUGACAUGAGUAACGAUAAAGGGAGUGAGAGACUCCCUCGCCGAAAGACCAAGGGUUCCUGCUUAAAGUUAAUCUGAGCAGGGUUAGCCGGCCCCUAAGACGAGGCGGACACGCGUAGUCGAUGGGAACCACGUUAAUAUUCGUGGGCCUGGUGGUAGUGACGGAUCUCGUGUGUUGUACAUUCUUACUGGAUUGAAUGUGCGGCGAAGAGGUUCCAGGAAAUAGCUCCACCGUAUAGACCGUACCCGAAACCGACACAGGUGGUCAGGUAGAGUAUACCAAGGCGCUUGAGAGAACUAUGUUGAAGGAACUCGGCAAAUUGCACGCGUAACUUCGGAAGAAGCGUGACCCUUUUGUACGCAAGUAUGAUGGGGUGGCACAGACCAGGGGGUAGCGACUGUUUAUCAAAAACACAGGGCUCUGCGAAGUAGCAAUACGACGUAUAGGGUCUGACGCCUGCCCGGUGCUGGAAGGUUAAAGGGAGGGGUGCAAGCUCUGAACUGAAGCCCCAGUAAACGGCGGCCGUAACUAUAACGGUCCUAAGGUAGCGAAAUUCCUUGUCGGGUAAGUUCCGACCUGCACGAAUGGCGUAACGACUUCCCCGCUGUCUCCAACAUAGACUCAGUGAAAUUGAAUUCCCCGUGAAGAUGCGGGGUUCCUGCGGUCAGACGGAAAGACCCCGUGCACCUUUACUAUAGCUUUACACUGGCAUUCGCCAAGGCAUGUGUAGGAUAGGUGGUAGGCUUUGAAGCAUGGACGCCAGUUCGUGUGGAGCCAUCCUUGAAAUACCACCCUUAUCUUCGUGGAUGUCUAACCGCGGUCCGUUAUCCGGAUCCGGGACAGUGUAUGGUGGGUAGUUUGACUGGGGCGGUCGCCUCCGAAAGAGUAACGGAGGCGCGCGAUGGUGGGCUCAGACCGGUCGGAAAUCGGUCGUCGAGUGCAAUGGCAUAAGCCCGCCUGACUGCGAGACUGACAAGUCGAGCAGAGACGAAAGUCGGUCAUAGUGAUCCGGUGGUCCCGUGUGGAAGGGCCAUCGCUCAACGGAUAAAAGGUACGCCGGGGAUAACAGGCUGAUGACCCCCAAGAGUCCAUAUCGACGGGGUUGUUUGGCACCUCGAUGUCGACUCAUCGCAUCCUGGGGCUGGAGCAGGUCCCAAGGGUAUGGCUGUUCGCCAUUUAAAGCGGUACGUGAGUUGGGUUCAGAACGUCGUGAGACAGUUCGGUCCCUAUCUGCCGUGGGUGUAGGAAUAUUGACAGGAUCUGUCCCUAGUACGAGAGGACCGGGAUGGACGUAUCUCUGGUGGAUCUGUUGUCCUGCCAAGGGCAUAGCAGAGUAGCUAUAUACGGAAUGGAUAACCGCUGAAGGCAUCUAAGCGGGAAACCAACCUGAAAACGAGUGUUCCCUAUCAGAGCCGUGGAAGACGACCACGUUGAUAGGACGGGUGUGGAAGCACAGCAAUGUGUGAAGCUUACCGUUACUAAUAGCUCGAUCGACUUCUUCGUUCCCAUU